RNAcentral lists this ribosomal RNA (113 nucleotides) under Rhizobium leguminosarum. RNAcentral's name for it is "partial 23S ribosomal RNA". It matches the Rfam family "Bacterial large subunit ribosomal RNA", at positions 132 to 243 of the family's 2925-position model. Lineage: Bacteria; Pseudomonadati; Pseudomonadota; Alphaproteobacteria; Hyphomicrobiales; Rhizobiaceae. The record is from RNAcentral.
UAGGUAUUGUGAUAAGGUAUCUUACUUUNNAAUACAUAGGGGUAAGAAGCNAACGCAGGGAACUNAAACAUCUAAGUACCUGCAGGAAAGGACAUCAACCGAGACUCCGCAAG